RNAcentral lists this ribosomal RNA (253 nucleotides) under uncultured bacterium. RNAcentral's name for it is "partial 16S ribosomal RNA". It matches the Rfam family "Bacterial small subunit ribosomal RNA", at positions 524 to 776 of the family's 1533-position model. The record is from RNAcentral.
UACGGAGGGUGCAAGCGUUGUCCGGAUUUAUUGGGUUUAAAGGGUGCGUAGGCGGUCUUUUAAGUCAGUGGUGAAAGCCAACAGCUCAACUGUUGAACUGCCAUUGAUACUGGGAGACUUGAGUACAGACGAGGUAGGCGGAAUUAACGGUGUAGCGGUGAAAUGCAUAGAUAUCGUCAAGAACACCGAUUGCGAAGGCAGCUUACUAGACUGUAACUGACGCUGAGGCACGAAAGCGUGGGGAUCAAACAGG